UGGGGAAUAUUGGGCAAUGGGCGAAAGCCUGACCCAGCGACGCCGCGUGAGGGAAGAAGGUCUUCGGAUUGUAAACCUCUUUCAGCAGGGAAGAAGAAAGUGACGGUACCUGCAGAAGAAGUCACGGCUAACUACGUGCCAGCAGCCGCGGUAAUACGUAGGUGGCGAGCGUUAUCCGGAAUUACUGGGUGUAAAGGGUGUGUAGGCGGGGUGUCAAGUCAGAUGUGAAAACUGUGGGCUUAACCCACAAACUGCAUUUGAAACUGAUACUCUUGAGAGUGGGAGAGGUAAACGGAAUUCCUGGUGUAGUAGUGAAAUGCGUAGAUAUCAGGAGGAACACCGGUGGCGAAGGCGGUUUACUGGACCACAACUGACGCUGAGACACGAAAGCGUGGGGAGCAAACAGG
This 407-nucleotide ribosomal RNA is filed under the name uncultured bacterium. RNAcentral describes it as "bacterial SSU rRNA". It matches the Rfam family "Bacterial small subunit ribosomal RNA", at positions 355 to 776 of the family's 1533-position model. The record is from RNAcentral.